Molecule: ribosomal RNA, 728 nt
Filed under: uncultured archaeon
Lineage: Archaea
Description: bacterial SSU rRNA
Rfam family: Archaeal small subunit ribosomal RNA
Source: RNAcentral
GUUGUACGCUUCCUAGCAACGUUGGGAGCGUAGCGAAAAACUCCGUAACACGUAGUUAAUCUUCCCUUAGGACGGGGAUAACCCCGGGAAACUGGGGCUAAUAACCGAUAGGCGGAAACGCCUGGAAUGGUCUUCCACCUAAAGGGUCUUAGAAACACGCUCAUAAGACUGCCUAAGGAUGAGACUGCGGCCGAUCAGGUUGUUGGUGGGGUAACGGCCUACCAAGCCUAUAACCGGUACGGGCCCUGAGAGGGGGAGCCCGGAGGUGGGAACUGAGACAAGGUCCCAGACCCUACGGGGCGCAGCAGGCGCGAAACCUCCACAAUACACGAAUGUGUGAUGGGGUUAUCCCGAGUGCCAUCCGCUGAGGACGGCUUUUCUUCAUUGUAUGUAGCUGAAGGAAUAAGAGGGGGGCAAGACUGGUGUCAGCCGCCGCGGUAACACCAGCCCCCCGAGUGGUGGGGAUGUUUAUUUGGCCUAAAACGUCCGUAGCCAGCUAGGUAAAUCUCUCGUUAAAUCCAGCGUCCUAAGCGUUGGGCUGCGAGAGAGACUGCCAAGCUAGAGGGUGGGAGAGGUCAGCGGUAUUUCUGGGGUAGGGGCGAAAUCCAUUGAUCCCAGGAGGACCACCAGUGGCAAAGGCUGCUGACUAGAACACGCCUGACGGUGAGGGACGAAAGCUGGGGUAGCGAAUCGGAUUAGAUACCCGAGUAGUCCCAGCCGUAAACGAU